This is a long non-coding RNA of Anolis sagrei ordinatus, 737 nucleotides long. RefSeq lists it as uncharacterized. NCBI's taxonomy places the organism in Eukaryota, Metazoa, Chordata, Lepidosauria, Squamata, Anolidae. The record is from RefSeq and is a predicted model, not a curated record.
GCUAGCCAGUGCUUGCCACUGAGGUGAUUUGAUGCAGCAAAGUGGGACAGGCUGGCCCGCAGCCAUGCGGUUCUCACUUGUGGCUGAUUCCAUCGAAUCUGACAAGCAAGCUAAGCAGAGGCUGCUGGAUCAAUUCCUGUAGGAGAGGCGUCCAAAAAACAAGUAAACAAAAAAGAUCAACAACAGGCUGUCCUGAGAGCUCUGGGACUGGAUGUUUUUAGUUUCUGCAGAUUCAACUGAUGUUUGGCCUUAGAAAGAGUUAUGCUGCUGGUUUUCCUCCAGGUUUGUGAAUUUUCAGUAUCUUGACCUGUCUCCUGAACUCUUAGAACCCUGGAACCUUGAAUCUCUGGACUGGCUUCUGACUAAGAGCUCUACUGGACUCUACUUUGUGAGGAUUCCAGCCAUUGCUGUGCUCAGGCUCCUCCCCAGUCAUGGCCAAGAAAAUCACACACUCUCAUCCUAAGAAGACGUCUGUGGUGGCCCCCUCUGAAUAACUCUUUCUACGAAAACCCUGUAAUAAUUUCACAGAAGUGAACUUGAAGAUACAUAACAAGAAAAAAAACAAUGCAGGGAAGUUAAUCCUGAAACUAUGUAAAUAUAUGCGGGGAAACCAUAACUGAAUUAGAUGAGGUUUACUCCUGACUUGAUGUGUUCUGUCCCAUUCAUAGACUUUACACUUUUCCCAUUGUGACAGUGCAAAGUCAAGUGGUCCAAUUUAGCCCACAGGUAGAAAGAAG